This 689-nucleotide ribosomal RNA is filed under the name Mortierella sp. BESC42a. Its description in RNAcentral is "eukaryotic LSU rRNA". It matches the Rfam family "Eukaryotic large subunit ribosomal RNA", at positions 1 to 645 of the family's 3401-position model. Lineage: Eukaryota; Fungi; Mortierellomycota; Mortierellomycetes; Mortierellales; Mortierellaceae. The record is from RNAcentral.
AUCUGAAAUCAGGUAGGGCUACCCGCUGAACUUAAGCAUAUCAAUAAGCGGAGGAAAAGAAACUAACAAGGAUUCCCCUAGUAACGGCGAGUGAAGCGGGAAGAGCUCAAAUUUAAAAUCUGGUUUGCUUUGCAAAUCCGAGUUGUAGUCUGAAGAAACGUUUUCCAUGAAAGCUGAGGCACAAGUCCUUUGGAACAGGGCAUCAUAGAGGGUGAGAAUCCCGUCCAUGGUCUCAAGCCUUUCAUUUUGUGAUACGUUUUCUAAGAGUCAGGUUGUUUGGGAAUGCAGCCUAAAAUGGGUGGUAAAUUUCAUCUAAAGCUAAAUAUUGGCGAGAGACCGAUAGCGAACAAGUACCGUGAGGGAAAGAUGAAAAGAACUUUGAAAAGAGAGUUAAAAAGUACGUGAAAUUGUUGAAAGGGAACCGUUUGAAGCCAGUCUUGCUUGCUUGUGAUCAAUCUUUGCUUCGGCUUGGAUGCACUCUCAGGUUAUGCAGGUCAACGUCAGUUUGAGAGGUGGGAAAAAAGCUUGAGGAAUGUGGCCUUCGGGUGUUAUAGCCUCUUGCUAAAUACCAUCUUUUGGACUGAGGCUCGCAGCAAAAAUGUGGGCAGGUUUGCGUUUGAGGUGAUACAUUAUUAAGACAGCUUGCUGACUUAGUUUUGUCUAUCUUCACUGUAAGCUUCGCUUCUAAU